Molecule: ribosomal RNA, 809 nt
Filed under: uncultured Flavobacteriia bacterium
Lineage: Bacteria; Pseudomonadati; Bacteroidota; Flavobacteriia
Description: bacterial SSU rRNA
Rfam family: Bacterial small subunit ribosomal RNA
Source: RNAcentral
CAGCACUUUUGACAGCAAUGUCAGAUGGUGGCGACCGGCAAACGGGUGCGGAACACGUACGCAACCUUCCCAAAACAGGUGAAUAGCCCUCCGAAAGGAGGAUUAAUACACCGUAAGAUAUAGAUGUGGCAUCACAAUUAUAUUAUAGACCGCGAGGUUGGUUUUGGAUGGGCGUGCGCCUGAUUAGGUAGUCGGUGCGGGUAACGGCCCACCAAGCCUUCGAUCAGUAACUGGUGUGAGAGCACGACCAGUCACACGGGCACUGAGACACGGGCCCGACUCCUACGGGAGGCAGCAGUAAGGAAUAUUGGUCAAUGGACGCAAGUCUGAACCAGCCAUGCCGCGUGAAGGAUGAAGGCCCUCUGGGUUGUAAACUUCUUUUAUCUGGGACGAAAAAAGGGAAAUCUUUCUCACUUGACGGUACCAGAGGAAUAAGCACCGGCUAACUCCGUGCCAGCAGCCGCGGUAAUACGGAGGGUGCAAGCGUUAUCCGGAUUUACUGGGUUUAAAGGGUGCGUAGGUGGGUAAGUAAGUCAGUGGUGAAAUCUCCGGGCUUAACCCGGAAACUGCCAUUGAUACUAUUUAUCUUGAAUACUUUGGAGGUAAGCGGAAUAUGUCAUGUAGCGGUGAAAUGCUUAGAUAUGACAUAGAACACCAAUUGCGAAGGCAGCUUACUACACAGUGAUUGACACUGAGGCACGAAAGCGUGGGGAUCAAACAGGAUUAGAUACCCUGGUAGUCCACGCCCUAAACGAUGGAUACUCGACAUUAGCGAUACACAGAUGUGUCUGAGCGAAAGCAUUAAGUAU